RNAcentral lists this ribosomal RNA (611 nucleotides) under uncultured Anaerovibrio sp. RNAcentral describes it as "bacterial SSU rRNA". The stretch from base 82 to 611 matches the Rfam family "Bacterial small subunit ribosomal RNA", at positions 1 to 556 of the family's 1533-position model. The record is from RNAcentral. Lineage: Bacteria; Bacillati; Bacillota; Negativicutes; Selenomonadales; Selenomonadaceae.
UGCAGUCGAACGGACCUUCCUUAUGCCUCUUAACAGACUGCUUAGUGGCUAACCGGUGGCCAUCUGCCUUCUCCAUCGCGCCUACAUCCCGUGAUGAUCGCUCAUACUGUUUGGGGUGUCGAGCUCUGGAUAAUGUCAAACUGGUGAGUAACUCUGAAUAUGUCUGCCUUCUAAUGGGGAUGCAUCUGAAAAGGGGUGCUAAUGCCUAAUGUUCCACUUGGCUUCAUGGACUAGCUACUCUGAGAGGACUCUGAAUAUGCUACCGACUGAAAAUGAGCCUGCAUCUGAUUAGCUAGUUGGAGGGGUAACGGCCCACCAAGGCUUCGAUCCUGACCGGUCUGACAGGAUGAACGGCCAAGGUGGUACUGACACACAGCUCUUACUCCUACGGCAAGCAUGCUCGUUGAAUCUUCCGCAGAGUAAUGACGGCUGACAGAUCAACACCCCGUGAUUGAAGAAUGUUUUCGGAUCCGAAAGUUCUUUCGUGGCGGACGAACUCGCUCUUUGUUGAUAAUGAAGAGUAAUGACGGUACCUAUCUAGUAUGUCUUAGCUAAGUACGGGUCAACCUCCUGAGGAAUACGUAAGUGGUAAUCUUGAUCGUGAAAUAUUG